Molecule: non-coding RNA, 655 nt
Organism: Malus domestica (apple)
Lineage: Eukaryota; Viridiplantae; Streptophyta; Magnoliopsida; Rosales; Rosaceae
Source: RefSeq, a predicted model, not a curated record
UGUUCUCAUCCAAAUUGGCAUUAUCUAGAACCCACGGCUCAUAGCCUCAUCUCGGCAGAGAGAUCACCGUUCCUACCGUUUUUUCUUCGGCGAUGUGCAGGCGUCAAAGCCUGCACCUCAGUGUGGGACUCCGCAACCCCGAGCUCCAAUUCAAGUCUUUUUCGGGUCUCUCUCACUUGAACUCGCUCCUCUCCUUCGGCCUUUCUGGUUGAUUUUUCUGUGUCGAAUCCUAUGGAGGAGGAAGUGGAGGAUUUUGAGUUGGUGGAGCGAGAUGAGGCAGCAGAGGAGUAAAGAGUUGCUGGAGAGGAUGGCGGAGGACAACAAGAAGAUGGAAAAGAGUACUGAAGGUGCAUGACAUUUUGGGAAGGAAAAUUUGAUUCCGGAUGGAGCCUUCUCCCCGGAAUCCAAAUACUACUUUCUUCUAGGUAAUCCAAUUCCGACAAUAUCAGGAGAUGAAUUCUUGAUUUUAUGUGGGGCCCGCAGAACUGUUCAUUCCGCUUAAGUUGGUAAAUAGAGGAAUAAUUAGGAAUGAAGAAUGAUUCCCAUUCCGCCAUAUCCUUUCCCCCUAUGUAAGCACGCCAUUAGUGUGUUUGUUUUUAUUUGGUGUGUUUAUUUAAUUUUAUUUGGUGAGUUUUUUUUUAGUUCAUUUAGUGAA